Molecule: long non-coding RNA, 4144 nt
Organism: Arachis duranensis
Lineage: Eukaryota; Viridiplantae; Streptophyta; Magnoliopsida; Fabales; Fabaceae
Exons: 6
Source: RefSeq, a predicted model, not a curated record
AGAAGAAGAGGGCGUCUUUGUUUGGUCUGUUUCCAUCGUUGAGAGGCGGUGGAAAAAGCUCCGGCGCCACUCUAACCGUAGAGUGAAAACUGGGACGCACUUGUGUGUUUGUGGAUGGAUAUUAAGUCUAUUGACCACGGAUGUGUUGGUUUAAAAUUCAUCAGGUUUACGCGUGUUGCAAGCAACUUUGAACAAACUCUUGGCCACCAGCUAAUUUAUUGUAGACUCUUGGCCACCAGCUAAUUUACCAGCUAAUUUAUUAUAGAGUAUUCUUUCUUUCAUUGUCUGUUAAUGAAGUAUUCUUAUUAGGCAUAUGAGUUUUGUUUUUUUUAAAUUAAACACAUGAGUGAAUGCUGAAUAGGACAACUACUAAUAUACAAGGAUUUUGUAUGGUAUAUUUCACAAGUAUUUGUUCUGAUUUCAAACAUAACUAAUGCAUUGCUGUGAGAAGUAUAUAUUCAAUGAUUUUAAAAUAUUCAACAUACAAGUGGUAUAUUUCACAUAUCACUUUUACUAUCUUUGUUGAUCUACUACGUCCUAAAGUAAUACUUAAAUUUCAAUUUGAUUAAGUUCUAGUAAUUAGUUAUUUAAGUUUUUAUGAUCUUGUUUUUUUAGAAUUUUUCAUAAUGUUAUUAACAUGAUUCUUAGACAUAUUUUUAGAUUUUAUAUAGACUCUAAAGAUAAGAACAUAAGCCUUCUCAAUUAUUUCUUUGGCUUACGUAAGUUUUAUAUUUGAUAUUUAUCAGAUAUGGAUACUUUAUCAAGCCACUUUUGAUGGAGCUAAUCAUGAAGUAGCUGAUGUCAUAAAAUGUCGUUCGUGAUCCUAUUUUUUGUUUUAGCUAAUCGGUACUUUUUCUCUUUAUUAUAAUUAUUUGUUAGUUUUCAAGAUUUUUUUCAUAAAAUUUUUUAAAAUCUUAAUUAUUACUUUUUAAAUUAAUUUUCAAAUAAUUAAGAAUUCGAUAGAUUAAAAAUGUAUCAAUUAAACAUUUUCUCUUAUAUUACUUUUACAUAUUUUAAAAGACAAAUCUAUUAAUCAAUAUAUUUUUCACAUUUUUUGUCUCUCAUAUGUUUAACUGAUACAUUUUUAAUCUAUCGAAUUCUUAAUUUUUUGAAAAUUAAUUUCUUUGAAAAGUAAUAAACAUUUUAAAAAGUUUUAUGAGAAAAAUCUUGAAAACAAUAAAUAAUUAUAGCAAAGAGAUAAAAAGUAUCCGAUCAGCUAAUCCAAAAAUAGGAUCACUAAUGGCAUCUUCUCCUUACUCUUGAAGUAUGACAUCAGUUAUCUGCAUGAUUAGCUCCAUUAAAAGGUGGUUCGGUAAAGUAUUCAUAUGUGACAAAUAUAAAACUUAAGUAAGUCAAAAAGAAAAGAUUGAAAAGGUUUAUGUUCUUGUUCUUUAGAGUUUAUAUGGAGUCUAAAGAUAUGUCUAAGAAUCAUGUUAAAGAUCAUAAAAAUUUAAAUAACUUAUAAGUAGAACUUAAUCAAAUUGAAAUUAAGUGACACUUUAAGAUGUUGUAGAUUAAUAAAGAUAGCAAAAGUGAUAUGUGAAAUAUACUACUUGUAUGUUGAAUAUUUUAAGAUCACUGAUUAUAUACUUCUCAUUACAAUACAAUACAUUAAUUAUGUUUAAAAUUAGAACAAAUAUUUGCGGAACAUACCAUACAAAAUCCUUGUAUAUUAGUAAUUAUCCUACACAGCAUUUAUUUUGUAUUUGAUUUAAAAACAGAAACAAGACUCAUAUGCCUAAUGGUAAACACAGCAUGCUUCAUUACCAGACAAUGAAAGAAAUAGAAUACUCUACAAUAGAUUACCUGGUGGCUCGACGGAAGGAGGGUUUUUUGCCGUUGUGCCUAGCACCUGCUUUAUUCGAUAUUCUUGGCCUUUCCAUUGUUGUUGCUAUGGCCGAGGUUUAUGGUCCGCGUCAUAGCCUCCAAGCUUGGCAUGGUUAAAGGAAAAAGUAAAUAGGUCAUGCUUUGAACUUACCUCGGCCCAAAUUUGUUAAUCGUACAGCAUGGUCGCCAAGCCCCCAAGGUUAGCCUGUUUCCGAUGCUUUGAAAAAUUGCUGGUAGUUACUUUUGUUUUGCAUUCCUCAUCGUGGCUCCUCGUUUCCUGCAUUCAUUAUCAUUUAGUGGACAUGACUCUUGGCGCACUUCUUUGGACACCCUUAUCCGUCAGUUAGAUAAAUGCAUUUUAAAUUUUGAACGGCUAUGAUUAAAAAAGGAUGGUUGGAUCAACCGUUUUAAUGUUAAAGUGCAUUUGCUUUUCUCCAAAUCAAACUUAGUGAGAUUCUUUUGGAAACUGUAAUUCCUUCAAUCCCUCCAAAAAUGAAUAAGAAAGGUUAGUGCAUGUCACUUCGUUAAUGUGUUUGUCUCUUUUCAUUAUCUCUACUUGAUGUUGUUUCAUAUAGCUUCUGCUUUUGAGAAUGGAGAAACCCCAGGUUAAGGUUGCUGAUAAUGAUUCGUAUAGCUGGGUAGAUAAGAGUGUUAAGUCUUAUGUGUCUUGUUUUGAUGAUGUUAAAUCGGUUAAAGUUCUUGGGUCAGACGUUUGGGUCAGUGAGGGUAGGGGGUUAAGAUAGAGAUGCUGCUGCGUGGGAGGGAUGAUCGUGUUUGUGAGAAGUUGUUUGAUUGGCCAUAUUUUUACAUGUAUAGUUAUCUGCUUACAGAGUUAGGUGUGCGGUUCCCCUUUUCGGAGUUCUAAUGUGCUGUGCUGUUUUGGUUAAAGUGUAUUCCCUCAUAGUUGCAUCCUAACUCAUGGGGGUUUGUCAGAGUGUUUGAGGUUUUAAUGGAGGUUCUAGAACAUCUAUCGUCUCUUAGAGUGUUCUUUUCUUUGUUUCAAGCCAAAGGGGUCAGGAGAGGGUUGUGGGUGAAUUUAAGUAGCCACCUUGGUGGGUCAGUGUUUGCUCUGUAUAAGUCAUCAUAUAAGGACUUCAAGAAAAUGUUUGUUAAGGUUAGGAAUGUUCUGGACUAGUUUCUGUUUUAUUUGAAUGAAACUUUAGAGGAGAGGUUUCCCAUCUCUUGGUGUCCUGAACCUACUCAAGUCCUAAAUGUUGAAGAUAGACUUCCUAGUGACAAUGUUAUGUUAGAACUUUUAGUAACUGAAAUGCAAUCUUGGGAGUUGUUAUCCGUUGUAGAGUUGUUGAAGUGGGAUACAGAUGAGCAAGCCAUGUUGGAUUACAUAGGAGAGAAAGCGCCUACCAUAACUACAGCUGGGUUGAAGUCAUUUUUCAAUCAAAGGAAGAAAAUUGAAAAAGAGAGGUCGACAAAGAGACUGCGGCUGGUGUGGUGCAGUCCGAGUUUAAGUCUAGAGGAAAAAGCAAAAGAGGUGCAUCGACUAAGGCCAAUGAUUUGGUUGUUGAUUUGAAAGAUGAUGAUGAUGUGAAUUUGGAAUUGGUGGAAUCAACUUAUGAGUCAUAGAAGGGACUUCACGGGUAUAUGGUGGAUAAUCAUGCUAAAUCGCUGUGGAGUAAAUUGUUCCCCUUUAUGACCUUAUCCGAUCAGUUUGGUCAGUUCCCAGCCAAUGUUGAGAUUAUCAACAAGGUUGGUCCUGCUGGAGUCAUUCAUUCCUUGCAGGUAAUUGGGGCACGCUUUGUGUCUAUUGGACGGACACGAGAUUGCAUUUGAUGCGGAGAAGAAAAAUUUUGCUAUGGUUGCUGAGCUGACCAAAAUUGUUGAGGAUAAAGAGAUGAGGGUGAAGGAGCUGUCCUUCUCUUUGAAGGCUAAGAACUCAAGUGGAAAAUGCGAGGAGUCAACAUCAGUUAAUGGAGAAAGAAAUAAGUGACUUGAAAUCACAAAAGGGUCAAUUGGUUUCUCGCUUAGGUGAAUUGGAGACUGAGGUAUACGAGUCCUUUGCACAAGGGUUUGAACGAUCUGUGGCAUAGGUUAGGGCUUUAUUCUCUGAUGUUGAUGUAGAGAAAUUGGACACGACAACAGUUAUUAUUGAUGGGAAGCUGGUUGAUGACGAGGUGUUGGUUGAAGAAAAAGGAGAAAGCUCCAGCAUUGGAGAGAAGGAUAAUUGAACUUGUAAUAGUAAGGACUUUUCCUUUUGUUUUGAAUUUUGAACUUGUUGGAAUUUGAUCCCGAUUUGACUUCAUCGGUUUGUUUAUUUUGCUUAACUUUUUCAGAGUAUGAAGCUUGGCUCAUGUUUGUUUCA